Molecule: unclassified non-coding RNA, 329 nt
Filed under: soil metagenome
Description: partial contains 5.8S ribosomal RNA, internal transcribed spacer 2, and large subunit ribosomal RNA
Rfam family: 5.8S ribosomal RNA (bases 1-120)
Source: RNAcentral
GAUGAAGAACGUAGCGAAAUGCGAUAAGUAAUGUGAAUUGCAGAAUUCAGUGAAUCAUCGAAUCUUUGAACGCACAUUGCGCCCUCUGAUAUUCCGGGGGGCAUGCCUGUUCGAGCGUCAUUAUAACCACUCAAGCUCUCGCUUGGUAUUGGGGUUCGCGGUUCCGCGGCCCCUAAAAUCAGUGGCGGUGCCUGUCGGCUCUACGCGUAGUAAUACUCCUCGCGUCUGGGUCCGGUAGGUCUACUUGCCAGCAACCCCCAAUUUUUACAGGUUGACCUCGGAUCAGGUAGGGAUACCCGCUGAACUUAAGCAUAUCAAUAAGCGGAGGA